UGGAUGUAUGUUUGUCCAGUGUGGGUGUAA
Molecule: non-coding RNA, 30 nt
Filed under: Rattus norvegicus (Norway rat)
Lineage: Eukaryota; Metazoa; Chordata; Mammalia; Rodentia; Muridae
Source: RNAcentral